UUAAGUUCAGCGGGUAUUCCUACCUGAUCCGAGGUCAAACCUAUAAAAGUUGGGGUUUUACGGCAGGGGACAGCACAACCACAGAGACGAGAUAGAAUUACUACGCCUAGAGUAUGUACUGACUCCGCCACUAACUUUGAGGAGCUACAGCGGGGCUGUGGGCUCCCAGCACCAAGCAACAGGGCUUGAGGGGUUGAAAUGACGCUCGAACAGGCAUGCCCACUAGAAUACUAAUGGGCGCAAUGUGCGUUCAAAGAUUCGAUGAUUCACUGAAUUCUGCAAUUCACAUUACUUAUCGCAUUUCGCUGCGUUCUUCAUCGAUGCCAGAACCAAGAGAUCCGUUGUUGAAAGUUUUAACUUAUUAAGUUUACGAUUCAGAAGAACUGCUAAAACAGAGUUUCGUGGGCCGCCGGCGGGCGGGCCUACCCUGACCACCGGGUAGCGCCUACAGGGUAAGCGCUUCGGGGUGGCAGGGCCGGACCGCGCCGCCGAGGCAACGAUAGGUAUGUUCACAUAGGGUUGGGAGUUGUAAUAACUCUAUAAUGAUCCCU
RNAcentral lists this unclassified non-coding RNA (551 nucleotides) under uncultured Emarcea. Its description in RNAcentral is "sequence contains ITS1, 5.8S rRNA gene, ITS2". Lineage: Eukaryota; Fungi; Ascomycota; Sordariomycetes; Xylariales; Xylariaceae. The record is from RNAcentral.